AGAUUGAGAGCUCUUUCUUGAUUCUAUGGGUGGUGGUACGU
RNAcentral lists this ribosomal RNA (41 nucleotides) under Chaetoceros affinis. RNAcentral's name for it is "partial Eukaryotic small subunit ribosomal RNA". The record is from RNAcentral. Lineage: Eukaryota; Bacillariophyta; Thalassiosirophyceae; Chaetocerotales; Chaetocerotaceae.